This 253-nucleotide unclassified non-coding RNA is filed under the name Hevea brasiliensis (rubber tree). The record is from RNAcentral. Lineage: Eukaryota; Viridiplantae; Streptophyta; Magnoliopsida; Malpighiales; Euphorbiaceae.
GGGUUGAUGGCUCAAAUGUAAGAAUCAACCGAAGCCCAUGCUCUGGGUUCUCCUUGCACUCAAGGGCAAGAGGCUCUUUAAGAAAACGUCUGUUACGGCCACCUAACUUGCCAAGGAGUUGCAAUGCUUUUCCACCCCAAGGGUAGGGUGCAGGUCUCAAGUGAGACCAUAAAGCUAAAAUCACCUCUGACNAUACUAGGUUCUAGGAAAUCAGGAUUCAAACUAUCCACCCAAAACUCAAGUGUUCUUAGAC